AGUGAACGCUGGCGGUAGGCCUAACACAUGCAAGUCGAACGGCAGCACAGAGGAGCUUGCUCCUUGGGUGGCGAGUGGCGGACGGGUGAGGAAUACAUCGGAAUCUACUCUGUCGUGGGGGAUAACGUAGGGAAACUUACGCUAAUACCGCAUACGACCUACGGGUGAAAGCAGGGGACCUUCGGGCCUUGCGCGAUUGAAUGAGCCGAUGUCGGAUUAGCUAGUUGGCGGGGUAAAGGCCCACCAAGGCGACGAUCCGUAGCUGGUCUGAGAGGAUGAUCAGCCACACUGGAACUGGGACACGGUCCAGACUGCGACGGGAGGCAGCAGUGGGGAAUAUUGGACAAUGGGCGCAAGCCUGAUCCAGCCAUACCGCGUGGGUGAAGAAGGCCUUCGGGUUGUAAAGCCCUUUUGUUGGGAAAGAAAUCCAGCUGGCUAAUACCCGGUUGGGAUGACGGUACCCAAAGAAUAAGCACCGGCUAACUUCGUGCCAGCCGCCGCAGUAA
RNAcentral lists this ribosomal RNA (506 nucleotides) under uncultured bacterium. RNAcentral describes it as "partial 16S ribosomal RNA". It matches the Rfam family "Bacterial small subunit ribosomal RNA", at positions 29 to 523 of the family's 1533-position model. The record is from RNAcentral.